UUGGAAAUGAUGCAUCAACAACUUCUGACUGCCAUUGAUGGUGUUUGUAUUCAUACUGUCUGAUCCAA
This is a small nucleolar RNA of Etheostoma cragini (Arkansas darter), 68 nucleotides long. The record is from RefSeq and is a predicted model, not a curated record. NCBI's taxonomy places the organism in Eukaryota, Metazoa, Chordata, Actinopteri, Perciformes, Percidae.